CCUACGGGAGGCAGCAGUGAGGAAUAUUGGUCAAUGGGCUUACGCCUGAACCAGCCAAGUCGCGUGAGGGAAGACUGCCCUAUGGGUUGUAAACCUCUUUUGUCAGGGAGCAACGCCGGCUACGUGUAGCCGGACUGAGAGUACCUGAAGAAAAAGCAUCGGCGAACUCCGUGCCAGCAGCCGCGGUAAUACGGGGGAUGCGAGCGUUAUCCGGAUUUUUGGGGUUUAAAGGGUGCGUAGGCGCAAUGCCAAGUCAGCGGUAAAAUCGCGGGGCUCAACCUCGCUCCGCCGUUGAAACUGGCGUUCUUGAGUGGGCGAGAAGUAUGCGGAAUGCGUGGUGUAGCGGUGAAAUGCAUAGAUAUCACGCAGAACUCCGAUUGCGAAGGCAGCAUACCGGCGCCCAACUGACGCUGAAGCACGAAAGCGUGGGUAUCGAACAGGAUUAGAUACCCUUGUAGUC
This 460-nucleotide ribosomal RNA is filed under the name uncultured bacterium. RNAcentral describes it as "partial 16S ribosomal RNA". It matches the Rfam family "Bacterial small subunit ribosomal RNA", at positions 338 to 795 of the family's 1533-position model. The record is from RNAcentral.